GAUGAACGCUGGCGGCGUGCCUAAUACAUGCAAGUCGAGCGAACAGACGAGGAGCUUGCUCCUCUGACGUUAGCGGCGGACGGGUGAGUAACACGUGGAUAACCUACCUAUAAGACUGGGAUAACUUCGGGAAACCGGAGCUAAUACCGGAUAAUAUAUUGAACCGCAUGGUUCAAUAGUGAAAGACGGUUUUGCUGUCACUUAUAGAUGGAUCCGCGCCGCAUUAGCUAGUUCGUAAGGUAACGGCUUACCAAGGCAACGAUGCGUAGCCGACCUGAGAGGGUGAUCGGCCACACUGGAACUGAGACACGGUCCAGACUCCUACGGGAGGCAGCAGUAGGGAAUCUUCCGCAAUGGGCGAAAGCCUGACGGAGCAACGCCGCGUGAGUGAUGAAGGUCUUCGGAUCGUAAAACUCUGUUAUUGGGGAAGAACAAAUGUGUAAGUAACUAUGCACGUCUUGACGGUACCUAAUCAGAAAGCCACGGCUAACUACGUG
This 497-nucleotide ribosomal RNA is filed under the name uncultured bacterium. RNAcentral describes it as "partial 16S ribosomal RNA". It matches the Rfam family "Bacterial small subunit ribosomal RNA", at positions 28 to 507 of the family's 1533-position model. The record is from RNAcentral.